This 254-nucleotide ribosomal RNA is filed under the name uncultured bacterium. RNAcentral's name for it is "partial 16S ribosomal RNA". It matches the Rfam family "Bacterial small subunit ribosomal RNA", at positions 524 to 776 of the family's 1533-position model. The record is from RNAcentral.
CACGUAGGGGGCAAGCGUUGUCCGGAUUUAUUGGGCGUAAAGGGCUCGUAGGCGGUUCGACAAGUCGGGUGUGAAACCUCCAGGCUCAACCUGGAGUCGCCACUCGAAACUGUUGUGACUUGAGUCCGGUAGGGGAGCAUGGAAUUCCUGGUGUAGCGGUGGAAUGCGCAGAUAUCAGGAGGAACACCAGUGGCGAAGGCGAUGCUCUGGGCCGGUACUGACGCUGAGGAGCGAAAGCGUGGGGAGCGAACAGG